UUCUCUCCCUCUACCAGCCAAUCUCGCCAUCACCGCUACCAUCGCCGGCACCGUCAUCGCGUGAGCGCGAACCUCCGCCGCUCCUUCUGCCGUUGUACACAUUAGCUCAAGAGCAGCUAAGGCUCGCUCCACCGCUGAGAUCUCUAGUCCUGCCGCUGUUUCCACCACCGCUCGUGCGGCUCCAGCCUCGACCGCCACGUGGCGGUUUCCUUCGGCGAGGCAGAGAGCGAGUAGGAUCUUGGUGACGUAUUUUGCCGUUACGAUCUUGUUGUUGCUACGAAGGCAAGAGACGAGACCUCGCAUGAGACCCGGUGGACAAGUCGGAUCAGAUGGCGGGUCAGGUACGACUACCCGCUCGAGUAGCUGUAGAGCGAGGAGCUUGUCGGAUUCAGAGACGGAUGUGAGGUGAAGCUCUGCGAUCUGGAAGGUUUCUUGGAGAGUGGUGGUGACCGGAAGAGGCGGUGGUGGAGGAGGUGGAUGAGGAGGAGGAGGAGCGGUGGAUGGAGUUUGAUCAAGAUGAUGAGGAAAGCGCCAUUGAGUGAAGCUUUGGGAAGUUGAGGUUGAGGAGGAGGAAGAUGAGGAGGAAGUGGUGGUGGCUUUACGGCGAGGUUGCUGCUGGUGAGGAGAGGUUGGGCUGAGGACGGAUUGUGUGCAGCGGCGGAAGAAGCC
Molecule: long non-coding RNA, 669 nt
Filed under: Arabidopsis thaliana (thale cress)
Lineage: Eukaryota; Viridiplantae; Streptophyta; Magnoliopsida; Brassicales; Brassicaceae
Description: long non-coding RNA (ATHA_LNC000363)
Source: RNAcentral